CCUAGGGCAUGCUGCCCCACAAGACUAAGCGAGGCCAGGCUGCCCUGGACCGCCUCAAGGUGUUUGAUGGGAUCCCACUGCCCUAUGACAAGAAAAAGCGGAUGGUGGUUCCAGCUGCCCUCAAGGUUGUGCGUCUGAAGCCUACGAGAAAGUUUGACUACCUGGGGAGCCUGGCUCAUGAGGUUGGCUGGAAGUACCAGGCUGUGACAGCCACCCUGGAGGAGAAGAGGAAGAACGCCAAGAUCCACUACCGGAAGAAAAUGCAGCUCAUGAGGCUACGGAAACAGGCCGAAAAGAAUGUGGAGAAGAAAAUUGACAAAUACACAGAGGUCCUCAAGACCCAUGGACUCCUAGUCUGAGCCCAAUAAAGACUUUAUUCCUCAAAAAAAAAAAAAAAAA
RNA transcript from Propithecus coquereli (Coquerel's sifaka), 399 nucleotides. It is a transcript of the gene named 60S ribosomal protein L13a pseudogene, with no coding region annotated. The record is from RefSeq and is a predicted model, not a curated record. The transcript has a single exon. Lineage: Eukaryota; Metazoa; Chordata; Mammalia; Primates; Indriidae.